AGUAAGUGCCAUUUAAGUGCUACUAAAUUGUUAGUUUCAAAUUUUUGUAUUUUUUGUAUUUUUUUAAAAUUUAUUAUGUAUUUUUUUUAAUAUAUUAUAUUUUUAGACAUUGAUGCGGGCCAUUAAAAAAUGGAUGGCGGGCUGCAGAUGAUUGCGGGCCGUAGUUUGGACACCCCUGGGUUAGAGCAACAGACAUUAUGCGACUUCACAGGCUUCGUAUUUUUCCUUAUGAUGAGUGAAUUCAGUGAAUCCAUCCAAUGAGAAGGGAGGAUCUCUGGCAUCAGAACAUCGCCGGUUCUAACAUUAAAUGAUCCUGUUUUUUCUUUAUUUUUUCCCAGAUACAAAUGUCACCUUAAACACAGCUGGUCAGUACCGAGGACUCCUGUUAUAAAGAGAGAGGUUGGAGCAGUAUCUGGAUUCUCCCACAAACUGCAAAUGACUCAAUACUUUGGAACAGUUUGCCAGGGAAAGCUUUUCUUAAACACUGACAUCCCAGGACACAACAUUGACAAGCUGCCCGCCGCCUCUGCUGAACACUGUCAGGCUCUGUGCACUGAUAAACCAAGCUAUACAUAUUUCUCUUAUAACAGUGAUGACUUCCAAUGUUACUUGAAGGGAAAUCCAUCUGUAACGGUGACUAGAGCCAAAAUGGGAGUCACAUCUGGGAUACCGGUGCAGCUCUGCCAGAUGGAUAACAGUCGGCUUCGAGUGUCUAAUGAAGGAGUUAGUUUCCAAGGUUCUGACCUUCGAUUUGAGUCGAUGGAUGAUCCAGAAACGUGUCAGAGGACCUGCACUACAGAUCCACUUUGCCAUUUAUACUCAGUUAUAUUCAGGUACAGUGUUCAUUCAUGUCAACAAAAUCAUGAACCAGCAAGUAAGUUCACACAGAUAAAUCAUGAAACAUUUAACUUGAUCUUCACUAGAAAGGACCAUGCCCUAACAAUAUGUGAUUGAAAGGUUUGAAUGGAAAUUGAUAAAUUGGAUGUUGAGGAAAUAAUGAAUGGACAUUGAGGGAAGAGGUUGAGGUGAAGAUAGGAGAUGAGGGAGGGAGGAAAGAGAGGAUGAAGGAAUGAGGGAAGGAUGAAGGGAAGGGAAGAUAAACAGAGCAUUAUGGGUUGAUCAAGUAUAUUUAGUCAUGCCAGGUGAUUGCAGGUGUGGUUAAGGUUAGGCCCUGCUCCUAAGUAGACUUGUUAACUUCCUAUCAGAUCAACUAUCUGGUGUUGUCUACAUGGUGUUUAAUCUUGUUUUUUUAGAUUUUGUGACCAAGGCUACGCUGUUAUCUCAAGCGUGUCAUCACAGCACCAG
This is a long non-coding RNA of Pleuronectes platessa (European plaice), 1305 nucleotides long. RefSeq lists it as uncharacterized. The transcript has 4 exons. NCBI's taxonomy places the organism in Eukaryota, Metazoa, Chordata, Actinopteri, Pleuronectiformes, Pleuronectidae. The record is from RefSeq and is a predicted model, not a curated record.